RNAcentral lists this ribosomal RNA (410 nucleotides) under uncultured bacterium. RNAcentral describes it as "bacterial SSU rRNA". It matches the Rfam family "Bacterial small subunit ribosomal RNA", at positions 370 to 772 of the family's 1533-position model. The record is from RNAcentral.
AAUGGGGGCAACCCUGAUCCAGCCAUGCCGCGUGAGUGAAGAAGGCCUUCGGGUUGUAAAGCUCUUUCGGCCGGGAAGAAAUCGCAUGGGCCAAUACCCUGUGUGGAUGACGGUACCGGAAUAAGAAGCACCGGCUAACUACGUGCCAGCAGCCGCGGUAAUACGUAGGGUGCGAGCGUUAAUCGGAAUUACUGGGCGUAAAGCGUGCGCAGGCGGUUUUGUAAGACUGGCGUGAAAUCCCCGGGCUCAACCGGGGAACGGCGUUUGUGACUGGGAGGCUAGAGUACGGCAGAGGGGGGUGGAAUUCCACGUGUAGCAGUGAAAUGCGUAGAGAUGUGGAGGAACACCAAUGGCGAAGGCAGCUCCCUGGGUCGAUACUGACGCUCAUGCACGAAAGCGUGGGUAGCAAA